AGUUAAUGAACUUGUAUAAGUAUAUGUUUUGAAAGCAUAAUAAAGGAUUAAUAACCCUAUUAACUU
RNAcentral lists this transfer RNA (66 nucleotides) under Liopterus haemorrhoidalis. Its description in RNAcentral is "tRNA-Ser". Lineage: Eukaryota; Metazoa; Arthropoda; Insecta; Coleoptera; Dytiscidae. The record is from RNAcentral.